This is a long non-coding RNA of Leptinotarsa decemlineata (Colorado potato beetle), 488 nucleotides long. The record is from RefSeq and is a predicted model, not a curated record. NCBI's taxonomy places the organism in Eukaryota, Metazoa, Arthropoda, Insecta, Coleoptera, Chrysomelidae.
GUCUUCUAUCUCAUCCUUUUUGGGAAUUUUUGCUACCGCAGGAGUUUUGUAUGCUUUAUCAUCUCAAAAUAAGUGGUUGACAUAUACAACAAUAACAGUGUUUGGGAUUUUAAUGAGCGCUUAUUUGCCAGCAGGAGUGGAAUUUGCGACGGAAAUAACAUAUCCUUCACCUGAGAGUACAGUGAUGGGAAUUAUAUGCGCCACAUCGCAGAUUAUGACGGUUGCUCUCACCAUUAUAUUCGGAGAGAUUACAACAAAAUUUGGAACAUUUUGGGCUCUUACUGGGAUGAUUAUAACUAUGGCACUGGGUACUAUUUUAUCAAUAAUGACGCCGAAUGCACUGAAGAGGCAGACAUUUUUUGAAAUGAAUAAUCGUGUGAAGUUCACGCAGAUAUCUCAGCAGGACAAUGGAAAUUAUCCUUGAAUAUGAGUGUGUUAUAGAAAUGUACCAAACAAUCACUAUGAGUAAUAUAUUGAUGGACUCUUCA